CACUGGAUGUUAAAUAGACAGGGAAGAUCCAUAUCUCCACUACAUGUUUAAUAGUGGUUGAUGUGGAAAUGCUCCAUGCCAUCUGGAAGAACCAACUGAUGAACAUAAGGACAACAGGAGGAGGAGCAGUCAAAGAAAAAGAAAAAGAAGAAAUCCUUCAAGAAACCAG
Long non-coding RNA from Elgaria multicarinata webbii, 169 nucleotides. RefSeq lists it as uncharacterized. The transcript has 3 exons. The record is from RefSeq and is a predicted model, not a curated record. NCBI's taxonomy places the organism in Eukaryota, Metazoa, Chordata, Lepidosauria, Squamata, Anguidae.